AGCGAACGCUGGCGGCAGGCCUAACACAUGCAAGUCGAGCGGCCGUAGCAAUACGGCAGCGGCAGACGGGAGAGUAACACGUGGGAACGUGCCCUUUGGUUCGGAAUAACGCAGGGAAACUUGCGCUAAUACCGAAUAAGCCCUUACGGGGAAAGAUUUAUCGCCAUUGGAGCGGCCCGCGUCUGAUUAGCUAGUUGGUGGGGUAACGGCUCACCAAGGCGACGAUCAGUAGCUGGUCUGAGAGGAUGAUCAGCCUCACUGGGACUGAGACACGGCCCAGACUCCUACGGGAGGCAGCAGUGGGGAAUAUUGGACAAUGGGCGCAAGCCUGAUCCAGCCAUGCCGCGUGGAUGAUGAAGGCCUUAGGGUUGUAAAGUCCUUUUAGCGGGGAAGAUAAAUGACGGUACCCGCAGAAAAAGCCCCGGCUAACUUCGUGCCAGCAGCCGCGGUAAU
RNAcentral lists this ribosomal RNA (453 nucleotides) under uncultured bacterium. RNAcentral's name for it is "bacterial SSU rRNA". It matches the Rfam family "Bacterial small subunit ribosomal RNA", at positions 29 to 524 of the family's 1533-position model. The record is from RNAcentral.